RNAcentral lists this ribosomal RNA (578 nucleotides) under uncultured bacterium. Its description in RNAcentral is "bacterial SSU rRNA". It matches the Rfam family "Bacterial small subunit ribosomal RNA", at positions 338 to 916 of the family's 1533-position model. The record is from RNAcentral.
CCUACGGGAGGCAGCAGUGAGGAAUAUUGGACAAUGGAUGGAAAUCUGAUCCAGCCAUGCCGCGUGCAGGAAGACGGCCCUAUGGGUUGUAAACUGCCUUUGUGUGGGAGCAAUAAGGUCUAUGCGUAGACUGAUGAGAGUACCAUACGAAUAAGCAUCGGCUAACUCCGUGCCAGCAGCCGCGGUAAUACGGGGGAUGCAAGCGUUAUCCGGAUUUAUUGGGUUUAAAGGGUGCGUAGGCGGUUUGAUAAGUCAGCGGUGAAAUAUUUCAGCUUAACUGGAAGGGUGCCGUUGAUACUGUCAGGCUUGAAUAUGGUUGCUGUGGGUGGAAUGUGUGGUGUAGCGGUGAAAUGCUUAGAGAUCACACAGAAUAUCGAUUGCGAAGGCAGCUCACAAAGCCAUUAUUGACGCUGAUGCACGAAAGUGUGGGGAUCAAACAGGAUUAGAUACCCUGGUAGUCCACACUGUAAACGAUGAUAACUCGCUGUCGGCGAUACACAGUCGGUAGCCAAGCGAAAGCGAUAAGUUAUCCACCUGGGGAGUACGACCGCAAGGUUGAAACUCAAAGGAAUUGACGG